This 283-nucleotide long non-coding RNA is filed under the name Olea europaea (common olive). RNAcentral describes it as "long non-coding RNA (OEUR_LNC007667)". Lineage: Eukaryota; Viridiplantae; Streptophyta; Magnoliopsida; Lamiales; Oleaceae. The record is from RNAcentral.
CCCCUCCUUUUGGUAUCAGAGCUUUUGUUCCGGUGCUGGUGUUUUCAGUAUAUUUCUUCAGAUUUUAGAAGGUAUAAUUCUCUGAAUUUUUAGAAAAUACUUACUUGUUUUAUGAUUUUUAUAAUUUUACUUGUAGAUCUAGAAAAAAUAUUCUAUAGUUUUACAUUUUAUAAAGAAAUAGAAGAGAUUUUUGAAUACGGUGUAGAAUUAAUUUCUUUUGAAAAAGAUAAAUCUAUAGACUAUUUAAUUGCUAUAUUACAAGUAACUAAAAAUUUACACCCAG